Molecule: ribosomal RNA, 490 nt
Filed under: uncultured bacterium
Lineage: Bacteria
Description: partial 16S ribosomal RNA
Rfam family: Bacterial small subunit ribosomal RNA
Source: RNAcentral
AUUGAACGCUGGCGGCAUGCCUUACACAUGCAAGUCGAACGGCAUCGCGGGAAAGCUUGCUUUCCUGGCGGCGAGUGGCGAACGGGUGAGUAACACAUCGGAACGUACCGGCUAGUGGGGGAUAACCCGUCGAAAGACGGGCUAAUACCGCAUACGCUCUUCGGAGGAAAGCAGGGGACCUUUGGGCCUUGCGCUAGUCGAGCGGCCGAUGUCCGAUUAGCUAGUUGGUGGGGUAAAGGCCUACCAAGGCGACGAUCGGUAGCGGGUCUGAGAGGACGAUCCGCCACACUGGGACUGAGACACGGCCCAGACUCCUACGGGAGGCAGCAGUGGGGAAUCUUGGACAAUGGGGGCAACCCUGAUCCAGCAAUGCCGCGUGGGUGAAGAAGGCCUUCGGGUUGUAAAGCCCUUUCGGCAGGGAAGAAAUCGGCGGGGCGAAUAACCCUGCUGGAUGACGGUACCUGCAGAAGAGGCACCGGCUAACUACGUG